CCUCGGGUGAGAAUCACUGGGUGGAAGGGGCAGAGGGCAGAGCUGGGCAGGCAGGUGAAGCAUGAGCAGAGGGGCCCCUGAGUCGGGGUAGAUGGAGGUGUCAGAGUCAAGACUGUCAGACACGGUGGGGGUGGAAGGACCCUGGACCAGGCAGACAGCGAGCAAAUGGAUGUAGCCGAGAAGGCAUCUGGCGGUGACCUGGGACUCACCGUCAGCGGGUAGCGCGCCAAGGUUCGGUCCUGGAGCUGAGGACUCCCGAGUAGGGCUGACUGAGAUGGGAGUUGUGAAUAGGGAAAGUCGGGUUGUGCAGAUGUGUACACAGCACUGGGCAGAAUGGCCUCACAGAAAGAAUGGUAGAUGGGGUGGGAGACAACACUGAAGAAGAACACCUGGGAGAGAUUCCUACUAGGUAGGGAGGAGGAGAGGGAGAGGGGUGGACUGUUGUACCCAGGGCUCUGUGCAGGUUGACACUGAAUGCCUUGGUGUGGGUUGGGAAGAAUCAGGGCGAAAGGGAGGGCAGAAGACUACAGACCUGGGGUAACAGGAAAAAGGAGGAAGAAUCACAGAGAGAGGCUCCCCUAAGCUGUGUCAGAUGAGUGUGUGAUAAAGGGUCUGGAUGGAAACAUGGAAGGUUAUAGGGAGUGAUGUCUGCAGGUCCCGAGAGGAAACCACAGCCUGGUCCACAGGAUGUGAGCAGGGGCUGGUGGGUGGAGUGUGCGAUUCAGGACAGUAUGUCUGAGGCCGUGAUGACUGAACUGGGAUGAGUAGCGGGUGAGGGACCAGGAAGGGAGCGCACAGCAGAGCAGACGACUGAAUCCAGCCGGAAGGGUCAGAGACGGUAGCUGACAGAAUGUCGCAUGGCUCAGGUAGGACGGUUCCUUUGCUCUGUAUGCAGCAGAGAAGCCAAGCAGGAGAGAUGGUGAAACAGGCCCAGGAGGUCGGAGAUCAGGUGAGCAGUCUGGAACACUGGGAGAGUGUGGAGGAGGACAGGUGGUCCAACGGGCUGGAAGAGAAGGAAAGGGCCGGCGAUGGCGCCUCUGAGCUCGGGCAGGAGGGGCUGGCUGAGAGGGUCAGGGAACCACUGUGUGAAGAGAGGGAUGGCUGAGCCUGAAAGAGGGAGUGGACAUGAAAAAUGCAGGGACUUUGCCCCGUAAAGUGGACCAAGGGCAUGACGAAGCCCAUGCAGGAGGCAGAGCACUGAGCAGGUAAGGCAAGCAAGGAACACGGGAGAGGCGGAUGAGGCCAGAGGAGGAUGGGGUGUAGAGGUCGAGACCAAAAAACUGGAGACAACCCUCUCUGGCGUGGCAUGGAGAAAUCAUGAGACAUCAAAGAGGCCAUAGAAGCACUGGUCUCAUAAUUGUGAACCAGAAAAUUAUGACACCAGUUGGAUUCAGUACAGCCUGUUGGGGACAAAGAAGUGUCAGUGGAUGGAGCGCAGGUCAAGACGGGAGCAGAUGUCAAGGAAAACAACAGUGAGUGUCGCAUGCUAGCAGGUGGCAGGGGAAGUAGGACAGUGUGUUGCAGAAGAAGCAGAGAGUCUCUUGAAGACAAGAAUGGAAGAAAAGGCAGAGGAUGGGCUGAGCUUGGUUUACUCUGCGUCCAGCAUGGAAAGGAGAGACAGGAAUCUUGGGCAUCACGAGAAGGUGGCUGACGGGAUGUGAGUUGUGUCAUGGGACAACAAAGGGACAGGUAAGGAGAGGAGGGACCUUUUGAUUGUGAGGGGGGCUCAGGUGGGUAACGGGGCAUCACAGAGAAGGGCACAGUGGCGUGAAAGGCCUACAACUUGGGGGAGUGGCAGGUCUGAGGAGCGACAGGGGCUGCAUGUAGGGUUCUACAGCCAGACAGCCGGAGCAUACUAGGGAAUAUAAGAAAGUGUAGGCGAUGUGAGUCGUACCUGUGGGCAAGCACUGUUUUAUGGGAAAAUAGACAAUGUAGAAUAUUCAUAGAGGGAGCCACGAUAGGAUAUCCAAGUAAAAACUAAGGGCAAUGUAGUGCUAUCAAUUGGAUUUUGAAAGAAUGGUAUUUAGCCCUGAUACAGCAUGCAUCCUACAGAUGGUGACACAGUAUUUACUGGUGCAUGUUUUUCCAAUGAAAAGGAGCCGAACAAAAAUGGAAAGAAGUGGUUAAAAUGAAGUUGGGAUUGAGUCGCCAGUAUACAUAUUAAAUCAUUCUCCAAAUUACUGGGAAACAUUAUAGUGGUUAUCAUACUUGGUGUUGCCUACUAAACUUGAUCACCAUUAAUGGAUCACAGUGGAGGGGGCAUGGGCUACAUUUCCUAAAGGAUACAUUGGAAUUAUAUAAAAAGAAAUUGUCGUAGAGAAAUUGGCAGCUGCCUGAAAAGUCUACCAGAAAGUCUCAUCAAAGUGGGCAGAUUUAGGAGAACGAACAGUCAGAGAGAGAGCAAUUCCUGCAGUGAAAUCAGAAGGGAGGGACAGCAGCAGCAACAAUCCUUAUCACGGUUAGGACUUCCAGAAGCAGAGCUGAAAGUGUGUGCAGUGGGCUGGCACUGUUCUGAGAGACAAGAGUAGGCAAAGGAGGAAUUUCACACGUGUUCACAUGCGGAAUCAAUUUAAAGGCCAGACAGACUGUGAACCACAAGCCUGGGCGGUGCAAACAAGCAGAGGUGUUUUCUAAGGCCAAGAGAGGGAAGAAGAUGUGAAUGGAUACGCCAUGCUUGUGUUGCGCUCUAGGGAGAGGUUAUCAUUUAAGAAAAGCAGCAAUAAAGAUUAUGGAUGACGAUGAUGAUGGUGUGAAGAGGGAACAUGAAAUAGGACAGGAAGACAGGUUGGAAGUACAGAGGGAAUGUCAGAAAUUUCAGUGUGUUUGAUGAAAGGCAGGCUGGUUACAAGAUGAAUGAACAGGUGAACAAAGAGAGCUCAAGCUGGGAAUCUGGCCAAUCUCAGAAUGGGUCAAAUUGGAGGAAUACUGAUUUUGAGGCUAGACUGAUACAGGAGAAUUUGAGAUCUUGAUCCCUGGCAUAUGUCUUCAGUUUGGCUCAAAUAAAUUCUUAUAAAAAUUCUCAAAAAAAAAACCCCAAAAACAAAACUGGCUAGACUGAUACAAAUUCUAGUGAUAAAGGCAGAGGAAAUGGUGGUUGACCAGUAAUGUUCUACCUAUCCUGCCUUUUUAGCAUUUGAAUAAAAAUUCAAAUGAUGUGCUUCUCUUGAAAGAAUGCAAAGUUUUAUCAAGGGUCAUUAAUAUCAGUGGAUGCAUGUGAGUCAAAGUGAAAACCUCUGAGAUAAAUUUUACUUAAUUGAAGCUGUAGAUUCAAUACAGAAUGUCAGGAGUUAAUAUGGUUAGUAUUGAACAACAAAUAAUGGAGUUGAGACUAGAGAUUCAGAGAAGAGUCCAGAGUCCAUCAGAAUCCUGUGGUAGCUCAAGUUAAGAUGGAGGUUUGAGGAAGUGUAGGCAGAAAGUCAAGAGCUGAAAUAUAUAUGAAAGAGUUAUGAAUUGUUAAUACAGGAGGAAGCAUCCCUAAUGCAAAACAGAAGGCUCAUAUACAUGGACUGCUAAACUUGAUCUUGGUAAGGAUGUUUUCUAUUAAGACUUUUUAAAUGAGUUAAAUUUGCUGAAAUGGUUUGAAAUGAGAAAUAGGAUGUGACAAGGCCUGAUAGUGCAAUAAUAAAAGUAAUUUCGGGAUUAGGAUGGUUCUGAGAUGGUAACGGAACAAAAAGUUAUUAUUUUAAAGUAGGGGCAUUACAGAGGUCCAAAGUGGGGGGAAAUUUGCAGACUGUUGUGCCUACAUGUUGUUCCUGGUGCAGAAGUAUUCAGAGGAAGGAAAGUUGCUGAAUGAGAAAAGAUACUAAGACAGAAGGCUGCCUUGAAGGGUUUUCUAACAAUUUUUAAGUAAAAGAGUAAUUGUUGGAGGCCAGAAGAUACUAAGAGGCUUGACUGAAUGGAGACUUACUCGUUCUACAAAUUGCCCAUAAUUUAAGAGAAGGAGAUAUGGUAAUAUCUUGAUGUUGGGUUAAAGUAAGUUUUUUCAGAUGGUGUCGAUUUUCUGUACACUUACAAAGUAAGGGGGAGUGGGAAAGUUUAAAGAUACAGCAAAAAUAACAACUUUCUGGAGAUUAGAGGGUGUGUGUCUUUUGAACAGUGGGAGACUUGAUUUUGAAAGAGGAAACUGGAAGAAAGUGGAUAGUUUCAGAAUUGAAACAAUUUUAAUAGCUUCUAUUUAUUGAGUAUUUACUAUAUGUCUGGCACCACGCUAAUCACCUUACUUAUUUAAUUUCAAUUUAUCUUUACAAUAAUUCUGAAAGGCUUAUAGAGGUCAAAUAAUUUAUCCAAAAUUCACAGUAUGUAGCAGUCCGAAUUCUAAUCCAAAUUUGUUUAUCUCCAAAACCUCUAUUCCUUUCUAUUAUGCUAUACAAUUUUCAAGUUGAAGGAAAUCACAAUCUAUAUAAUUUUUGUUUCUGUGAUUAUAAGGAAAAUAUAUUUUCUGAGAUGAGACAAAGUAAAGGUAAUGUAUAGAUCUUCAGGAAAUUGGUAAAAUUUGGAAUAUUUGCAAUGGGAAAAUGCAAAAAAGGAAUGGGUAAAAAACAUUUUUAUUACCAUCUAUGCCCUUGGUAUUUCACUUCUAUUUAUUGCAAAGCAAAGAUUUUGGAUUGGCUAUGGAUUAAAAACUAGACUUUUCUGACAAAGACAAAAGAAUAGAAAGGAGUUUGUUUUUUAAGCAGGUACAUGAUGGGUCAAAUAUAAAUCAACUACUAACAAAAUCUUAAAAGUCCAAGUGUUGAGACAAAAUUCCAUUUCUUUUCUCCAAGAUGCAAUGACAGGAGUUUAUAACUGACUUUUAGCACCAAUCAGCAAAUCCUUUGAGUUUAACAGAAAAGAAAGAAAAUUCUCCAAAUGCCAAAUUUUUAUAAAUAAAAUACUAACAAACCAUCAAACAAAAGAGUCCAUAGCCAGCAGACCAAAGGCUGAAACCUCUGGGCUAAUCUGUAAGAUCUAUGUUUCAAAAAGAAAUUAACCCCUUAGUAAGAGGGGUGCGAAAAUCUCUCCUAUACUUCCUCUCUUAGUAGGAAUGUUUUCUGUUGUUGUUUCCCCCUUUCGCUGUAUGUAAUUUCUGUAAUUUCAAUAUUGUUGUGUUAUGUAUGUUGAUAUUGUGAAACUGUUAUUUGUUGUAUUCUGUUAAGACCACUCCCUGGGGUGUGAGGCACCUGAGUUAUCAGUUAUCCAAGAGAUCCUGGGGGAAUGGGAGGAGCUGGAUUCUUUAAUAGGCUCGGCAUUUCGUUUCUCUCUAGAGUGGCGAAGUAGCACCCCUUAAAAACGGGACUUGGAGAGAAGUACCGCAGAUGGAGGAGUUAGGAAACACAGAGAGGAGGCCACUUGAAAAACUUCAUAAAAUGCAGUUUCCUAGGAUAAUGGCGGAAGCCAUAGGGCUACAGUAGGACUGGGCUCAGAUACUGGUUUGGAACAAGAAUAAAUAAAACUAUCUUUACUUAAGAGUCCAGCCAGCUUAAUUACUGGCUGGUGGACAUACUUUAGACACAUAUAAUCAGAGGGAAACAGACCAGAGCGAAAGUGAAGCUAAAAGAAAAUGAAACUAGGGAAGCCUCAUAGAGGGAUAGAGGAGGUAAUGAAAGGUGAAAUUCAGAGGGCCUAAUGCUCGCAGGACAGAUACUGGAGGCCAGACAGGAAAGUGCCUUCCUACCCAGGGGGUUAUGGAUCCAGGGGGCUGCAGGUUAAGAGUGCAGGUCCGCCCAGGGGCCAGAGGGAACAACCUGGGAUUCAGACCCAGCAAUGGUGCCAACGUGAAUCUACCUCGUGCUAGAGUGAGUAGCCUGGUCUGUAACCCAACAGAGAAGAGAUUGGGCAGGGCUCCCAGAACCAACAUCUACAAAGGGAGUUCGGAGAGGGGCUAAAAGAAGGCAGGUUAAGCCCCACAUGUAAGUGAAUGAUGACCAGGGAUAACAAUUUACUAGUACUUCUAUGAUUUCUUGUAACUUUGUACCUUCCCCAAUAUUUGUUAAUUUUGUUAACUUUUAUCUGAUUUUUUUCCUGUGCUAGUUAGUAAAAAUUGUUUUUUCCUGUACUAGUAGUAAAAAUUGUUUUUUCCUGUACUAGUAAUAAAAGUUGUUCAAAGCA
Molecule: long non-coding RNA, 6087 nt
Organism: Hipposideros armiger (great roundleaf bat)
Lineage: Eukaryota; Metazoa; Chordata; Mammalia; Chiroptera; Hipposideridae
Exons: 2
Source: RefSeq, a predicted model, not a curated record